UACGAAGGGUGCAAGCGUUGUUCGGAAUUAUUGGGCGUAAAGAGCAUGUAGGCGGAUGAAUAAGUCAGGUGUGAAAUCUCGGGGCCCAACCCCGAAACUGCGCCUGAAACUGUUUAUCUAGAAUCUUAUAGAGGGAAAGGGAAUUUCACAUGUAGGGGUAAAAUCCGUAGAGAUGUGAAGGAACACCAGAAGCGAAGGCGCUUUCCUGGAGAAGUAUUGACGCUGAGAUGCGAAAGCGUGGGGAGCAAAC
RNAcentral lists this ribosomal RNA (250 nucleotides) under uncultured bacterium. Its description in RNAcentral is "partial 16S ribosomal RNA". It matches the Rfam family "Bacterial small subunit ribosomal RNA", at positions 524 to 773 of the family's 1533-position model. The record is from RNAcentral.